This 297-nucleotide long non-coding RNA is filed under the name Lathyrus oleraceus (garden pea). RNAcentral's name for it is "Pisum sativum (pea) long non-coding RNA (PSAT_LNC033366)". The record is from RNAcentral. Lineage: Eukaryota; Viridiplantae; Streptophyta; Magnoliopsida; Fabales; Fabaceae.
UGUCUUAAGAUGGAUGCAAAGUAACACACAUUUUGUUGAGUAGUGAGUCUUGUACUCUGAGAAGUUGAGUUGAUGAUAGACAAUGAAAGACAAGCCAAGCUAGAGCAUGUAGACUAAGUGUAGGAUGUGAAAUAUGUUAUGUUGUAAGAGGUUAUGGGGAGACAAUGAGAAUUUUCUGUGGCAAGUCAUCUAGACAAGUAACCCCAGUAUGAUGAAGUGUGUAGUAGGUAUUGGGUUAGAAGAAAAAUUCUAGUCAUAAGUGUGUGGCAAUGAUAAGGUUUAUCUUAUGUGCAUUUU